Molecule: ribosomal RNA, 116 nt
Filed under: Pseudohaemophilus parahaemolyticus
Lineage: Bacteria; Pseudomonadati; Pseudomonadota; Gammaproteobacteria; Pasteurellales; Pasteurellaceae
Source: RNAcentral
UCUGGCGACCAUAGUGCGGUAGUUCUACCUGAUUCCAUUCCGAACUCAGAAGUAAAAUGCCGUAAUGCCGAUGGUAGUGUGGGGAUUCCCCAUGUGAGAGUAGGGCAUCGCCAGAU